Caretta caretta (loggerhead turtle) is the source of this 2285-nucleotide non-coding RNA. The record is from RefSeq and is a predicted model, not a curated record. Lineage: Eukaryota; Metazoa; Chordata; Testudines; Cheloniidae.
CCUCGCACCUGCUUAUUGGCCUCAUCGAAGAAGACGCAGUUGACGGGAUUCGCCUUCUCGAAUUGCACGGGCCGCGCGCACAGCGCCAGUGGUUCUGUUCCAUAUGGGAUGGUGAAAUUUCUAAAUCAGUUUGGAAACAGAUUGAAACUUUACCUCAUGCAACAUAGGUCAGCUCCCAAACUACUGCACUGGGCAGCACAGCAUGGGGAGGAGGUGGCCAGCCCUCUGUGAAGGAAGAAGUGGUUCGGGACUAUUUAGAAAAACUGGAGGUGCACAAGUCCAUAGGGCUGGAUGCGUUGCAUCCGAGAGUGCUAAAGGAAUUGGCGGAUGUGAUUGCAGAGCCAUUGGCCAUUAUCUUUGAAAACUCAUGGCGAUCGGGGGAAGUCCCAGAAGAUUGGAAAAAGGCUAAUGUAGUGCCCAUCUUUAAAAAAGGGAAGAAGGAUGAUCCUGGGAACUACAAGCCGGUCAGCCUCACCUCAGUCCCCGGAAAAAUCAUGGAGCAUGUCCUCAAGGAAUCAAUUCUGAAGCACUUAGACGAGAGGAAAGUGAUCAGGAACAGUUAGCAUGGAUUCACCAAGGGAAAGUCAUGCCUGACUAAUCUAAUUGCCUUCUAUGAUGAGAUAACUGGUUCUGUGGAUGAAGGGAAAGCAGUGGACGUGUUAUUCCUCGACUUAAGCAAAGCUUUUGACACGGUCUCCCACAGUAUUCUUGUCAGCAAGUUAAAGAAGUAUGGGCUGGAUGGAUGUACUACAAGGUGGGUAGAAAGUUGGCUAGAUUGUCGGGCUCAAUGGGUAGUGAUCAAUGGCUCCAUGUCUAGUUGGCAGCCAGUAUCUAGCGGAGUGCCCCAAGGGUCGGUCCUGGGGCCGGUUUUGUUCAAUAUCUUCAUUAAUGAUCUGGACGAUGGUGUGGAUUGCACCCUCAGCAAGUUUGCGGAUGACAUUAAACUGGGAGGAGUGGUAGAUACGCUGGAGGGUAGGGAUAGGAUACAGAGGGACCUAGACAAAUUGGAGGAUUGGGCCAAAAGAAAUCUGAUGAGGUUCAACAAGGACAAGUGCAGAGUCCUGCACUUAGGACGGAAGAAUCCAAUGCACCGCUACAGACUAGGGACCGAAUGACUUGGCAGCAGUUCUGCAGAAAAGGACCUAGGGGUUACAGUGGACGAGAAGCUGGAUAUGAGUCAGCAGUGUGCCCUUGUUGCCAAGAAGGUCAAUGGCAUUUUGGGGUGUAUAAGUAGGGGCAUUGCCAGCAGAUCGAGGGACGUGAUCGUUCUCCUCUAUUCGACAUUGGUGAGGCCUCAUCUGGAGUACUGUGUCCAGUUUUGGGCCCCACACUACAAGGAUGUGGAGAAAUUGGAGAGAGUCCAGCGAAGGGCAACAAAAAUGAUUAGGGGGCUGGAACACAUGAGUUAUGAGGAGAGGCUGAGGGAACUGGGAUUGUUUAGUCUACGGAAGAGAAGAAUGAGGGGGGAUUUGAUAGCUGCUUUUAACUACCUGAAAGGUGGAUCCAAAGAGGAUGGAUCUAGACUAUUCUCAGUGAUAGCAGAUGACAGGACAAGGAGUAAUGGUCUCAAGUUGCAGUGGGGGAGAUUUAGGUUGGAUAUUAGGAAAAACUUUUUCCCUAGGAGGGUGGUGAAACACUGAAAUGCGUUACCUAGGGAGGUGGUGGAAUCCCCUUCCUUAGAAGUUUUUAAGGUCAGGCUUGACAAAGCCUUGGCUGGGAUGAUUUAGUUGGGAUUGGUCUUGCUCUGGGCAGGGGGUUGGACUAGAUGGCCUCCAGAGGUCCCUUCCAACUCUGUUAUUCUAUGAAAUUAGAGUGAAUAAAUGAAGACUCGGCACACCACUUCUGAAAGGUUGCUGACCCCUGGAAUAGACAGAGACUAGUGGAACAAGCCUCACCAUCAUGGCUGCCACUCCCACCAUCUCCUGUGACCCCACAUCUCAUUUUUCCUAAUCCUGAUGGAUGUCAUGACCAGAUCUAGCCACAGAGAGGGAGCCAGAUUACAUCACCAGCCACUGCUACAAGCUCCAGCUGAAUCCCAACCACCAUCUGAGAUGAUAUUGAACUUUACCAGCAACAACAGCUCCAGCCCAUUUCAACUAACUUUCUUUUACUCAAAAGGGGAGGCAAAGGGAAGCUGCAAUUACACCAUUUGCCAACCAGAGGCUGAUGUGGCACAAGAAGGGAGGAUACCUGGCUCACAGUCGGAGAGAGGAGGCUGAGGCUGUCUUCUUCACAGCACCCUGCCUCCCAGGCCAGGGGAAAAUCUUCUGGCUCCUGUGCACACG